CGGAGCACCACGCGCGCCAGCAUCACCGCACGCAGAUCUACGCGCGAUCCCCGCGCACGACCUACGACACCACGCAAGAUCGACGUCUCCAGAACACAACUCGCGAAGACAACAAGAAGCCAUCACGUCGUGUCCGACUACACUCCACAUAUCUUCCUCAGCCUACGUUCACCUUCGACGUCGACGACCAUCUUACCAGCUCCUCGGACAACCUGGAGAGAUCUCCCGCUCCGUCCACCUGACAGAAGACUCAGCCCACGCCACGAAGAACGUGAUACAACACUAACCCCUUCAUCAAUAAUUAAUUAGUAAACAAUUUCUCGUUCAACAAAGGAUUAAUACCGGAGAGCCCAAACCCCCUGGGGGGACGCACAAUUAAUUAACUACGAGUGAACCCAAGACGAUCUACGCGCGAUCCCCGCGCACGACCUACGACACCACGCAAGAUCGACGUCUCCAGAACACAACUCGCGAAGACAACAAGAAGCCAUCACGUCGUGUCCGACUACACUCCACAUAUCUUCCUCAGCCUACGUUCACCUUCGACGUCGACGACCAUCUUACCAGCUCCUCGGACAACCUGGAGAGAUCUCCCGCUCCGUCCACCUGACAGAAGACUCAGCCCACGCCACGAAGAACGUGAUACAACACUAACCCCUUCAUCAAUAAUUAAUUAGUAAACAAUUUCUCGUUCAACAAAGGAUUAAUACCGGAGAGCCCAAACCCCCUGGGGGGACGCACAAUUAAUUAACUACGAGUGAACCCAAGACGAUCUACGCGCGAUCCCCGCGCACGACCUACGACACCACGCAAGAUCGACGUCUCCAGAACACAACUCGCGAAGACAACAAGAAGCCAUCACGUCGUGUCCGACUACACUCCACAUAUCUUCCUCAGCCUACGUUCAC
Sycon ciliatum is the source of this 908-nucleotide long non-coding RNA. RefSeq lists it as uncharacterized. The transcript has 3 exons. NCBI's taxonomy places the organism in Eukaryota, Metazoa, Porifera, Calcarea, Leucosolenida, Sycettidae. The record is from RefSeq and is a predicted model, not a curated record.